UGGAUAAUCACAGGACGAGGGCUCCUGUCAUCUCUGGGGCGUCCAACUCGGUGAAUCGUGUCGACGAGAAAGCCAAGCUUGUUUUUUUCAUCUGGAGCCAUUUGUCCAAAAAUCUGAAAGAUCUGUUUUCUUCGAUCUUCCGUGGACUCAUUGGUGGAUUCCGAAAUCCAAGAGAAGAGAUCGUCUUCCCUUAACACAGAAUGGAAUCAUCAGAGGAAAAAUCUGCUUCUUAAUCAGUUAGUUUCAGCGUUUGGGUGUACCCCACCUUUCUCCCGUAGACAGCUGGGAUAGGCUCCAGCUUGCCUGCGACCCUGUAGAAGGAUAAAGUGGCUAGAGAUAAUGAGAAUGAGAUGAGAUGAGUACCUCUCUCUCUUUGGACCGAUGUCAUCCUACAGUCUCUUCUCGAGCAAGGCAUGGUGAGACACUUUACACAAGAUUUAUGUAAGAUUAAUGAAUUGAUUGUUUCUUCUGUAAUAUCACAGGUUCCUGCUCAUCAUUGCUGUUUUCCAUUAAUGAUCUCUGUUCUGCCUUUUUCUGCCUUUUUUCCAUGCACAUGAGGAGAUAGCGUUUGGACUCAAGGUUUCAUUUGACUCUCCUGCUGUUUUUUUUCAGCUGUAAUUCAUAACGUACUCUGUGACCGUCUCCCUCCCUUAGGACUCUGUGGUCUGUGUGUUCUGGUAUCUGCUGAGUCACCAGAAAUCUGCCAAGACACUGACACUUGCACCUGCUCCAACAUCUGGCGCACAAGGGCUUUAAGGUUUUCAGGACCAAGCUGCAAUAAUGCAUGGACACUUAAAUAUUUGAACUUUUGAAGUUUUGAACUUUCUCAAGGCUGUCAUUCUAGACACAAAACGCCCUGCAACUAAACAUGCACUGAUGUCUUUUCUGGGUCAGAAAAUGGAUCCCUGACUGCUCUUUAUAUGACAAGCUUCUCCGUUCUGCAAUCUCUCAUCACGAUCCACUGCAACAUCCUUUGACCUGGACUGACGCUAUGGUGGUUGCUUAUCACUCCCUCAGAAGCACCCUUUGUUCCGCCCCUGGGUUACCUGCUCACUUCAAGCCCUUCCACCUCUAUGCCUGUGAACACCAAGGCACAGCCUCUGGGGAGCAUGGGGGGGGAGGGGGGGAAAUGCAUCAUUGUGCGUUUUUAUCCAAAACAUUAGACAUUGUUGCUCAAGGCUUACCUGUGUGUCUGGGGGCUGUCUCCGCAUGUGCUUUGAUGGUUUUAGAUGCGGAAAAAUUGGUUUUGUCUUACCCACUGAUCUUGCACUCGUCACAUCAAGUUAAACAGGUGUUGCAAAAUUUACAGACCCAUUAAAUUAAUUUAUCAGUAAUUUAAUUGAUAAUUAAAUUAACAUAUGACUAUUUAUUCUCUGUUCUACUAACAAUCUCAAAAUUUGUGUCACAUCCUCUUUUGAUAAUGUAGGUCACGCUCUCGCACACUUCCUUAAUUCUCAGGAUGACACUUGGGAUGACAUUAAUAUUGUCUGUCUAAAAAUCGUACAUACUACUAGUAUCAGGUCUGAUCUCUCCUCCAGCCCUCUAGGGAUGGGGGAAGUACUCUUUGUUGAUGGUUCUUGUUCUACACGGUUCUUGUUUUAUAAUUUAUGAUAUUUAUCAUACCUCUGUGGUUAUUCUGUGUGUUCAAUCAAUAUCAGCCUGAUAUUCUGCAUGAGACAUAUGCUCUUCCUUUCUCAUUUGAUUUUUGUCAUCUUGAUUGUGGACAAAUUCUCUAAAUGGGUAGAAGUUUUUCCCUGUUCUCGAGAGAACGUGAAGGUAGUUCACUCGUACUCUGGCAAAAGAAAUAAUACCUAGUUAUAAUAAUAAUAAUGAUACAUUUUAUUUAUGAGUGCCUUUCAAGGUACCUAAGAACACUGGACAGUAAAAAAGAAAAACAAACAAUAAAAGCAGAACAAUAAAAUAACAACAUUAAAAUAAUAAGAAAUCAAUAAUAAUAAUUAUUGUUAUAGUUAUGGGGUUUCAAAUGCCAUAGACUCAGACAAAGUGUCACUUCAAAAGUCACACUACUAAUGCUUUCUCUGUGUCCCGAGAAUCUCUGUUCUCUCUCUCUGUCUCUCUAUUUCUGAGCUCUACACAGAUUCGACUGAGAAUCCUCAAGACGUUGUGAACAAAGAGGGGAAGAGAUCUUGCGCCCCGUUUGGAACCAAUCAUCCUCACUACAACCAUGACAGUCCUCAUCACGGGUUUCGUGACUUCAUUGUUGCUCGGGGCAGGGCUACCCGCCCGAGCCUUCGUGACUGCUUCAUCUUUGCUCGGGGCAGGGUUACCCGCCCGAGCCUUCUGGACUUCAUUGCUCGGAGCAGGGUUACCCGCUCGAGCUGGACUUCGAGACAACAUCUUCUGGACUAACUUCACUAACUGGACUGCACAAGUGCACACCACACGAAUGUGUUAUGUCUUUCAUCUGAUGCCAUCUUCUACUAUUAUUACACAUCUCUAUGCUCUGAAACUCUGUAUUCUUACAGGACUCUGUUCUCACUAUAGGUCGAUAUGCCCUAUAAUUCCCUUAUAGUACCCUUCUAAUUUCAUUUUUCCCUCACUGUUUGAGAACAAAUUACUCUGAAGGAAGUAGCGUGUAUUUGGGACGAAUUAAGAGGUUUUGAGUUUCUCUAAGCUCUGGUGAGGUGGGACAAGGACUGAUCGGGCAUGCCCGCCCUCUGAGCACCAAUAUACGUCAAGAAGGGCAAAGAUUAACUCGAUUAAUUCUCGAUGUAAUCACAUAUAUGAUCAUGAGGUGAUAAUGAUCAAAUAUGAUCCUAGGAUUUGAUAAUAGUGAUACUAUUAUCAAAGGGGGGGGGAUUGUUAGGUUUAUAUAAGUAUUAUUCUUGGCCAAGAAGGCAGUAAUUUAUUAAAACGGUGACAAAAUUAAGGAUGAACUUCGGUCCAGUUAAAAUGACCUUCUGUCUCGGCUGGACAUUGUUUGGGAACAUUUUGUUUAUGUUUGAUAUGAAAUGUGUAUUAUUGAUCAGAUAUGUGUCUAAACGGCGCCUGGAGGUCUACAUAUGAUGUCAGACACACCAACAGACACUCACAGCUGAAUAUCCAAUGAUUGAAUGUAGUUUUAUAAUUACAGAAUAUAACAGGAUUGUUAAGACUUUAUGAUUCUAAUGUUAAAGAUUUUAUGAGUUUAAUCCUGAAUCCUGUCCUCCAGUGAAGUAGCAUUUCUUUGCUUUGCCAGACAUAUUCUUAUUUUUCUUAUUUUUCAUAUGACUGUUUUGUUUGUUUGUUCUUAUUUUGUUUAUAACAUAUAACAUAUAUUUAUAACAUAUCUUUGUUAAAAUUGUUUGUUAUUUUGCUUAUGAUUGUCUUACUACAUAUUGCUGAAAUCAAGAUGUAAUUUGCUGACUUAGCACAAGACACACAUUCAUGUGUUAAGAGUUUUGAUUUUAAUAUUUUUAGCUUUUCAUCUUUUAGCUUUUAGAUCCUUUAAAACUAUUGCUGUUUAAAUUGGUAUUAAUGUCUGAUGUAGUUUUCUUUGACUAGACUUCGUAGACUAGAUAUAUUAUCUGUGUUUAAGUACAUAGUGCCCUGACCUGAAGGGGGGUACGUAAGCAAUGACCUUUAAGAUGUCUGAACAAUGAAGUAAUUAAGACCUGCUCAUAUACACACAUACAUUCGACAGACACAAUAGCCGUUUGGAGAGAUUAUGAUUUGUUAUAAAAGGUGUUUGUAAUCUUUCAUCUUUGGCGAGAAUACUGUGAUUAAACAGCAGUUAAACUGA
This is a long non-coding RNA of Neoarius graeffei (lesser salmon catfish), 3742 nucleotides long. RefSeq lists it as uncharacterized. The transcript has 3 exons. The record is from RefSeq and is a predicted model, not a curated record. Lineage: Eukaryota; Metazoa; Chordata; Actinopteri; Siluriformes; Ariidae.